This 80-nucleotide transfer RNA is filed under the name Bos taurus (domestic cattle). It matches the Rfam family "tRNA". From Rfam's summary of the family: Transfer RNA (tRNA) molecules are approximately 80 nucleotides in length. Lineage: Eukaryota; Metazoa; Chordata; Mammalia; Artiodactyla; Bovidae. RNAcentral also lists the same sequence under 4 other names. The record is from Rfam by way of RNAcentral.
UCCCUGGUGGUCCAGUGGUUAGGACUUGGCACUUUGGCGCUUUCACUGCCAUGGCUUGGGUUCAAUCCCCGUUCAGGGAA